CUGCGAAUGGCUCAUUAUAUAAGUUAUCGUUUAUUUGAUAGUACCUUGCUACUUGGAUAACCGUGGUAAUUCUAGAGCUAAUACAUGCUAAAAAUCCCGACUCCGGAAGGGAUGUAUUUAUUAGAUUAAAAGCCAAUGCCCUCUGGGCUCUCUGGUGAUUCAUGAUAACUUCUCGAAUCGCACGGCCUUGCGCCGGCGAUGGUUCAUUCAAAUUUCUUCCCUAUCAACUUUCGAUGUUUGGGUAGUGGCCAAACAUGGUUGCAACGGGUAACGGAGGGUUAGGGCUCGACCCCGGAGAAGGAGCCUGAGAAACGGCUACUACAUCCAAGGAAGGCAGCAGGCGCGCAAAUUACCCAAUCCCGACUCGGGGAGGUAGUGACAAUAAAUACUGAUACAGGGCCCUUUCGGGUCUUGUAAUUGGAAUGAGUACAAUUUAAAUCCCUUAACGAGGAACAAUUGGAGGGCAAGUCUGGUGCCAGCAGCCGCGGUAAUUCCAGCUCCAAUAGCGUAUAUUAAAGUUGUUGUGGUUAAAAAGCUCGUAGUUGAACCUUGGGCCUGGCGGGCUGGUCCGCCUCACCGCGUGCACUAGUCCCGCCGGGCCUUUCCCUCUGCGGAGCCCCAUGCCCUUCACUGGGCGUGGCGGGGAAGCAGGACGUUUACUUUGAAAAAAUUAGAGUGCUCCAGGCAGGCGUAUGCUCGAAUACAUUAGCAUGGAAUAAUGAAAUAGGACGCGCGGUUCUAUUUUGUUGGUUUCUGGGACCGCCGUAAUGAUUAAUAGGGACAGUCGGGGGCAUCAGUAUUCAAUUGUCAGAGGUGAAAUUCUUGGAUUUAUUGAAGACUAACAACUGCGAAAGCAUCUGCCAAGGAUGUUUUCAUUAAUCAGGAACGAAAGUUAGGGGAUCGAAGACGAUCAGAUACCGUCGUAGUCUUAACCAUAAACUAUGCCGACUAGGGAUCGGACGAUGUUAUUCAUUGACUCGUUCGGCACCUUACGAGAAAUCAAAG
Molecule: ribosomal RNA, 1005 nt
Filed under: Hypocrella raciborskii
Lineage: Eukaryota; Fungi; Ascomycota; Sordariomycetes; Hypocreales; Clavicipitaceae
Description: SSU rRNA
Rfam family: Eukaryotic small subunit ribosomal RNA
Source: RNAcentral